AGUGAACGCUGGCGGUAGGCCUAACACAUGCAAGUCGAACGGCAGCACAGUAAGAGCUUGCUCUUACGGGUGGCGAGUGGCGGACGGGUGAGGAAUGCAUCGGAAUCUACUCUGUCGUGGGGGAUAACGUAGGGAAACUUACGCUAAUACCGCAUACGACCUACGGGUGAAAGCAGGGGAUCUUCGGACCUUGCGCGAUUGAAUGAGCCGAUGCCCGAUUAGCUAGUUGGCGGGGUAAGAGCCCACCAAGGCGACGAUCGGUAGCUGGUCUGAGAGGAUGAUCAGCCACACUGGGACUGAGACACGGCCCAGACUCCUACGGGAGGCAGCAGUGGGGAAUUUUGGACAAUGGGGGCAACCCUGAUCCAGCCAUGCCGCGUGAGUGAAGAAGG
This 392-nucleotide ribosomal RNA is filed under the name uncultured bacterium. RNAcentral's name for it is "bacterial SSU rRNA". It matches the Rfam family "Bacterial small subunit ribosomal RNA", at positions 29 to 414 of the family's 1533-position model. The record is from RNAcentral.